AGGGGGGGGCUUACCAUGCAGUCGACGAUGAACCACUUCGGUGGGGAUUAGUGGCGAACGGGUGAGUAACACGUGGGCAAUCUGCCCUUCACUCUGGGACAAGCCCUGGAAACGGGGUCUAAUACCGGAUAACACUUCCACUCUCCUGAGUGGAGGUUAAAAGCUCCGGCGGUGAAGGAUGAGCCCGCGGCCUAUCAGCUAGUUGGUGAGGUAAUGGCUCACCAAGGCGACGACGGGUAGCCGGCCUGAGAGGGCGACCGGCCACACUGGGACUGAGACACGGCCCAGACUCCUACGGGAGGCAGCAGUGGGGAAUAUUGCACAAUGGGCGAAAGCCUGAUGCAGCGACGCCGCGUGAGGGAUGACGGCCUUCGGGUUGUAAACCUCUUUCAGCAGGGAAGAAGCGAAAGUGACGGUACCUGCAGAAGAAGCGCCGGCUAACUACGUGCCAGCAGCCGCGGUAAUACGUAGGGCGCGAGCGUUGUCCGGAAUUAUUGGGCGUAAAGAGCUCGUAGGCGGCUUGUCACGUCGGUUGUGAAAGCCCGGGGCUUAACCCCGGGUCUGCAGUCGAUACGGGCAGGCUAGAGUGCGGUAGGGGAGAUCGGAAUUCCUGGUGUAGCGGUGAAAUGCGCAGAUAUCAGGAGGAACACCGGUGGCGAAGGCGGAUCUCUGGGCCGAUACUGACGCUGAGGAGCGAAAGCGUGGGGAGCGAACAGGAUUAGAUACCCUGGUAGUCCACGCCGUAAACGGUGGGCACUAGGUGUGGGCAACAUUCCACGUUGUCCGUGCCGCAGCUAACGCAUUAAGUGCCCCGCCUGGGGAGUACGGCCGCAAGGCUAAAACUCAAAGGAAUUGACGGGGCCCGCACAAGCGGCGGAGCAUGUGCUUAAUUCGACGCACGCGAGACCUUACCAGGCUGACAUACACGGAAACGUCUGGAGACAGGCGCCCCCCUUGGUCGGUGUACAGGUGGUGCAUGCAUGUCGUCAGCUCGGUCUGAGAUGUGGUAGUCCGCACGAGCCCAACCUUGUUCCUGUUUGCACAGGGCCUUAGUGUGACUG
RNAcentral lists this ribosomal RNA (1061 nucleotides) under Streptomyces sp. I08A-00406. RNAcentral describes it as "bacterial SSU rRNA". It matches the Rfam family "Bacterial small subunit ribosomal RNA", at positions 38 to 1140 of the family's 1533-position model. RNAcentral also lists the same sequence under 1 other name. Lineage: Bacteria; Bacillati; Actinomycetota; Actinomycetes; Kitasatosporales; Streptomycetaceae. The record is from RNAcentral.